AUGUCUCUUGAUAAUCCCCACACAGCUCACAUAUGUACCUGGUUCUUGGCAGCUUACUUCAUCAUUGGGUUAUCAGAAGCUAGUGUAGACACAAUAAGAAGAGCUCAUGCAGUUCAUCCCAUCACUUCCUUACAAAUGGAGUAUUCUCUGUGGACCCGUGAUAUUGAAGAUGAGAUAAUUCCACUUUGCAGAGAGCUUGGCAUUGGGAUUGUGGCAUAUAGCCCUCUUGGUCAUGGGUUCUUUGGUGGGAAAGCAGUCGUGGAGAGCUUGCAUAACGAGAGUAUGCUGGCCAUGCAUCCAAGGUUCAUGGGGGAGAACUUAGAGAAGAACAAACUUCUAUAUGCCCGACUUGCCAACCUGGCUGCAAAGCAUGCACUCCGCCUCAGCUAGCUCUGGCCUGGCUUCUUCAUCAGGGAGAUGAUAUAAUCCCAAUCCCCGGGACAACUAAAGUUAAGAAUCUUGAUAACAACAUUGGAUCCUUGGCAGUGAAGCUUACACAAGAGGAUUUGAAAGAAAUUUGUGAUGCUGUGCCCAUUAAUGAAGUAGGUGGUGAAAGAUUUCCAGCCACCUUAUCUAAGUAUACCUGGAAAGUUGCAAAUACCCCAUCAAAGUGAUUGCAAAUUAUAGAUAUGAA
RNA transcript from Quercus lobata, 634 nucleotides. It is a transcript of the gene named perakine reductase-like, with no coding region annotated. NCBI's taxonomy places the organism in Eukaryota, Viridiplantae, Streptophyta, Magnoliopsida, Fagales, Fagaceae. The record is from RefSeq and is a predicted model, not a curated record. The transcript has 5 exons.